This 35-nucleotide ribosomal RNA is filed under the name uncultured Cenococcum. RNAcentral's name for it is "partial 18S ribosomal RNA". The record is from RNAcentral. Lineage: Eukaryota; Fungi; Ascomycota; Dothideomycetes; Gloniales; Gloniaceae.
AAUGUUCCGUAGAUGAACCUGCGGAAGGAUCAUUA